RNAcentral lists this ribosomal RNA (1346 nucleotides) under uncultured bacterium. RNAcentral describes it as "bacterial SSU rRNA". It matches the Rfam family "Bacterial small subunit ribosomal RNA", at positions 27 to 1381 of the family's 1533-position model. The record is from RNAcentral.
GGACGAACGCUGGCGGCGUGCCUAACACAUGCAAGUCGAGCGGAGUCGAUCGACGGAAGCCUUCGGGCGGAAGAUGGUUGACUUAGCGGCGGAUGGGUGAGUAACGCGUGGGCAACCUGCCUCGAAGACCGGGAUAACAGCCCGAAAGGGCUGCUAAUACCGGAUGUGGUCAAAGAUCCGCAUGGAUUUUUGAUUAAAGGGGAAACCCGUUUCGAGAUGGGCCCGCGUCCUAUCAGCUAGUUGGUGAGGUAAAAGCUCACCAAGGCGACGACGGGUAGCCGGCCUGAGAGGGUGACCGGCCACACUGGAACUGAGACACGGUCCAGACUCCUACGGGGGGCAGCAGUGGGGAAUCUUCCACAAUGGGCGAAAGCCUGAUGGGGCGACGCCGCGUGGGCGAAGAAGGCCUUCGGGUUGUAAAGCUCUGUCUGGAGGGACGAAGGAAGUGACGGUACCUCCGGAGGAAGCCACGGCUAACUACGUGCCAGCAGCCGCGGUAACACGUAGGAGGCAAACGUUAUCCGGAUUUACUGGGCGUAAAGCGCGUGUAGGUGGUUUGGUAAGUAGGGCGUGAAAGCUCCUGGCUCAACUGGGAGAGGACGUUCUAAACUGCCAAGCUUGAGGAUGGUAGAGGGAGGUGGAAUUCCGGGUGUAGCGGUGGAAUGCGCAGAUAUCCGGAGGAACACCAGUGGCGAAGGCGGCCUCCUGGACCACUCCUGACACUCAGACGCGAAAGCUAGGGUAGCAAACGGGAUUAGAGACCCCGGUAGUCCUAGCCCUAAACGAUGUAGACUUGGCGUCGGUGGUUUAAUCGCCAUCGGUGUCGUAGCUAACGCGAUAAGUCUACCGCCUGGGGACUACGGCCGCAAGGUUAAAACUCAAAGGAAUUGACGGGUCCCCGCACAAGCAGCGGAGCGUGUGGUUUAAUUCGAUGCUACACGAAGAACCUUACCUGGGUUUGACAUAGAGGUAGUAGGGAAGCGAAAGCGGACCGACCCUUCGGGGAGCCUCUACAGGUGUUGCAUGGCUGUCGUCAGCUCGUGUCGUGAGAUGUUCGGUUAAGUCCGCUAACGAGCGCAACCCUCGCUGUGUGUUACAAGUGUCACACGGUACUGCCGAUAUUAAGUCGGAGGAAGGUGGGGAUGACGUCAAGUCAGCAUGACCUUUAUAUCCAGGGCUACACACACGCUACAAUGGCCAGUACAAUGGGUUGCCAAGCCGCGAGGCGGAGCCAAUCCUAAAAAGCUGGCCUCAGUUCAGAUUGCAGUCUGCAACUCGACUGCAUGAAGUUGGAGUUGCUAGUAACCGCAGGUCAGCAAUACUGCGGUGAAUACGUUCCCGGGGAU